This 385-nucleotide ribosomal RNA is filed under the name uncultured Gammaproteobacteria bacterium. RNAcentral describes it as "bacterial SSU rRNA". It matches the Rfam family "Bacterial small subunit ribosomal RNA", at positions 1034 to 1419 of the family's 1533-position model. Lineage: Bacteria; Pseudomonadati; Pseudomonadota; Gammaproteobacteria. The record is from RNAcentral.
ACAGGUGCUGCAUGGCCGUCGUCAGCUCGUGUCGUGAGAUGUUGGGUUAAGUCCCGUAACGAGCGCAACCCCUAUCCCUAGUUGCUAGCAGUUCGGCUGAGAACUCUAGGGAGACUGCCGGUGACAAACCGGAGGAAGGUGGGGAUGACGUCAGGUCAUCAUGGCCCUUACGGCCAGGGCUACACACGUGCUACAAUGGUGCGUACAGAGGGCUGCAAACCCGCGAGGGGGAGCUAAUCUCACAAAACGCAUCGUAGUCCGGAUCGGAGUCUGCAACUCGACUCCGUGAAGUCGGAAUCGCUAGUAAUCGCGAAUCAGAAUGUCGCGGUGAAUACGUUCCCGGGCCUUGUACACACCGCCCGUCACACCAUGGGAGUGGAUUGCA